AACGAACGCUGGCGGCAGGCCUAACACAUGCAAGUCGAACGCCCUAGCAAUAGGGAGUGGCAGACGGGUGAGUAACACGUGGGAACCUUCCCUAUAGUACGGAAUAUACCAGGGAAACUUGGAGCAAUACCGUAUACGCCCGAGAGGGGAAAGAUUUAUCGCUAUAGGAUGGGCCCGCGUAGGAUUAGCUAGUUGGUGAGGUAAUGGCUCACCAAGGCGACGAUCCUUAGCUGGUUUGAGAGAACGACCAGCCACACUGGGACUGAGACACGGCCCAGACUCCUACGGGAGGCAGCAGUGGGGAAGUAUUGGACAAUGGGCGCAAGCCUGAUCCAGCCAUGCCGCGUGAGUGAUGAAGGCCUUAGGGUUGUAAAGCUC
RNAcentral lists this ribosomal RNA (378 nucleotides) under uncultured bacterium. Its description in RNAcentral is "bacterial SSU rRNA". It matches the Rfam family "Bacterial small subunit ribosomal RNA", at positions 29 to 433 of the family's 1533-position model. The record is from RNAcentral.